RNAcentral lists this transfer RNA (86 nucleotides) under Nematostella vectensis (starlet sea anemone). It matches the Rfam family "tRNA". Rfam says of the family: Transfer RNA (tRNA) molecules are approximately 80 nucleotides in length. Their secondary structure includes four short double-helical elements and three loops (D, anti-codon, and T loops). Lineage: Eukaryota; Metazoa; Cnidaria; Anthozoa; Actiniaria; Edwardsiidae. The record is from Rfam by way of RNAcentral.
CCUUCGAUAGCUCAGUUGGUAGAGCGGGGGACUGUAGAUUUAUAAUUGUGAUCCCUAGGUCGCUGGUUCGAAUCCGGCUCGAAGGU